GUGAGGAAUAUUGGUCAAUGGGCGAGAGCCUGAACCAGCCAAGUCGCGUGAAGGAAGAAGGUUCUAUGGAUUGUAAACUUCUUUUGCAUGGGAAUAAAGUGAGCUACGAGUAGUUUAUUGUAUGUACUGUGCGAAUAAGGAUCGGCUAACUCCGUGCCAGCAGCCGCGGUAAUACGGAGGAUCCGAGCGUUAUCCGGAUUUAUUGGGUUUAAAGGGUGCGUAGGCGGGAGAUUAAGUCAGCGGUGAAAGUUUGCAGCUUAACUGUAAAAUUGCCGUUGAAACUGAUUUUCUUGAGUGUAAAUAAGGUAGGCGGAAUGUGUUGUGUAGCGGUGAAAUGCAUAGAUAUAACACAGAACCCCGAUUGCGAAGGCAGCUUACCGGGCUACAACUGACGCUGAGGCACGAAAGCGUGGGGAUCAAACAGGAUUAGAAACCCUAGUAGUCC
This 445-nucleotide ribosomal RNA is filed under the name uncultured bacterium. RNAcentral describes it as "bacterial SSU rRNA". It matches the Rfam family "Bacterial small subunit ribosomal RNA", at positions 354 to 796 of the family's 1533-position model. The record is from RNAcentral.